AGUUUUGCAGGCAGCAGCUCAGACUGUGAGCAUCAUCCACAAGGGGACAGCAUCCACAUCCACACUGGAAAGAUGCAGUUUGUGUCUGUGAGGAACAGAAAGGGGAGCAGCCAUUGCUGAAAGCACCCAAAAAUAAUAAUAAAAAAAAAAUUAAAAAAGAGAGAGAGAAGAAAGAAGAAGACAUUUCCUGGAUUAUUACUUCUGGACGGAGAGGGAGGAGAGGUGAGCUAGACACAUCCAGAACAUGCCCCGGCUGCUCAGGGAUCUCUUGGAGUCUAUCUUGGGAGAUUUGCAAAGACAGAAAAGUUAUAAACAAACCCCGAAUGACAGGAUCGCAUAUUUCAACUACAUCUGGAAAGUUCAGAAAGCCACUUUGAAGAUACUGUCUCUAGAGAAAAGUGGCCCUCUUAAGCCUUGAUGAUAUUUCUUCAAAAGCAAGAUGAAGCACAGUAUUUUUUCAGCCUGUCUUUACACUUGCUUCUUUCUUAGAAUCCAGCAAAUAAGUCAACAGGCAUUUUCAUUGUUCAGUGAGGAGCAUCAGAAAGCAUGAGGCAAACAAUAAAUGAGGACAGGUUUAUAACUUCUACCUCUCCAUCAAUUCUUACAGAUUUCAGUUGUUUAAAAUUUUCUUCUUCACUCCUGUCACUACAUUAGCUAGUGAACUCAUAGCAGCAGCUUUUAAUUUUAAAUACCAGGCAUUCACACCUCAAUAAAUGUGCAGCAAAUUACACUACAUCAGCACACAGUUUCCCUUUGUUCACAGGCAAAACUGCUUCUAAAACUGUCUUAGAACUCAUACUCUUGGAUUCCCAGAUUUUUUGGGCAAAGAUGCACCAAAAAUAUUAUGUUUAUUAUUAAUCUAAUUUAUUAAUAUUUUUGUAUCAUUUUUGGGAAAAGAAAAAUAAAUUAUAUUGCAUUCCUUUGAAACCCAACAUCCAUUUGAAGGAAAAACCCAACCCAAAUUAAACAGUAUCAAAUGACACUACCCAUUCAUUCAUUUGGAUUCUUGGUACAAUUAUUAGUGCUCAUGAUUGGGAACCCUGGACUCCUCUCACUCCUCUAGAUUUUAUUCUGUUCUUAAGAGACAAAAUUUAUUUGAAUCAUUGUCUAAUAUGAGAAUAGGAAUUUUCUUUUGAUUUGUAAGAGUUUCAAAUGUGAUGUUGUUAAGUGUGGGAGUGAAAUCUACAGAAUCAAUGUAACAUUUCAGCUUAUUACUCAAAGGUUAAAAUAAACUUGAGGGAACAAUAACAUUUCUUUCAC
Molecule: long non-coding RNA, 1260 nt
Organism: Zonotrichia leucophrys gambelii
Lineage: Eukaryota; Metazoa; Chordata; Aves; Passeriformes; Passerellidae
Exons: 4
Source: RefSeq, a predicted model, not a curated record